CGGGGGAGCAAGCGUUGUUCGGAUUUACUGGGCGCAAAGGGCGCGUAGGCGGCGCAACAAGUCACUUGUGAAAUCUCCGGGCUUAACCCGGAGCGGCCAAGUGAUACUGUCGUGCUAGAGUGCGGAAGGGGCUACUGGAAUUCUCGGUGUAGCGGUGAAAUGCGUAGAUAUCGAGAGGAACACCUGUGGCGAAGGCGGGUAGCUGGGCCGACACUGACGCUGAGGCGCGAAAGCUAGGGGAGCGAACGGGAUUAGAUACCCCGGUAGUCCUAGCCUUAAACGAUGGAUGCUUGGUGGUCCGGGGUUACAUACGGUCCCCGGGUGCCGUCGCUAACGCAUUAAGCACUCCCGCCGUGGGGAGUACGGUCGCAAGACUG
Molecule: ribosomal RNA, 377 nt
Filed under: uncultured organism
Description: bacterial SSU rRNA
Rfam family: Bacterial small subunit ribosomal RNA
Source: RNAcentral